This 455-nucleotide ribosomal RNA is filed under the name uncultured bacterium. RNAcentral's name for it is "bacterial SSU rRNA". It matches the Rfam family "Bacterial small subunit ribosomal RNA", at positions 340 to 786 of the family's 1533-position model. The record is from RNAcentral.
UACGGGAGGCAGCAGUGGGGAAUAUUGCACAAUGGGCGCAAGCCUGAUGCAGCCAUGCCGCGUGUAUGAAAAAGGCCUUCGGGUUGUAAAGUACUUUCAGUCGUGAGGAAGGUGUUAAGGUUAAUAACCUUAGCAAUUGACGUUAGCGACAGAAGAAGCACCGGCUAACUCCGUGCCAGCAGCCGCGGUAAUACGGAGGGUGCGAGCGUUAAUCGGAAUUACUGGGCGUAAAGGGCACGCAGGCGGUUAAUUAAGUUGGAUGUGAAAUCCCCGGGCUUAACCUGGGAAUGGCAUUCAAGACUGGUUAGCUAGAGUCUUGUAGAGGGGGUAGAAUUCCAUGUGUAGCGGUGAAAUGCGUAGAGAUGUGGAGGAAUACCGGUGGCGAAGGCGGCCCCUGGACAAAGACUGACGCUCAUGUGCGAAAGCGUGGGGAGCAAAACGAGGGAUUAGAUACC